RNAcentral lists this ribosomal RNA (253 nucleotides) under uncultured bacterium. RNAcentral's name for it is "partial 16S ribosomal RNA". It matches the Rfam family "Bacterial small subunit ribosomal RNA", at positions 524 to 776 of the family's 1533-position model. The record is from RNAcentral.
UACGUAGGGUGCGAGCGUUAAUCGGAAUUACUGGGCGUAAAGAGCUCGUAGGUGGCUUGUCACGUCGGGUGUGAAAGCUUGGGGCUUAACUCCAGGUCUGCAUUCGAUACGGGCUGGCUAGAUGUAGGUAGGGGAGAACGGAAUUCCUGGUGUAGCGGUGAAAUGCGCAGAUAUCAGGAGGAACACCAAUAGCGAAGGCAGCUCGCUGGGACGUUACUGACACUGAGGCGCGAAAGCGUGGGGAGCAAACGGG